Molecule: unclassified non-coding RNA, 306 nt
Filed under: plant metagenome
Description: partial contains 5.8S ribosomal RNA, internal transcribed spacer 2, and large subunit ribosomal RNA
Rfam family: 5.8S ribosomal RNA (bases 1-105)
Source: RNAcentral
GAAAUGCGAUAAGUAAUGUGAAUUGCAGAAUUCAGUGAAUCAUCGAAUCUUUGAACGCACAUUGCGCCCGCCAGUAUUCUGGCGGGUAUGCCUGUCCGAGCGUCAUUUCAACCAUCAAGCCCCCGGGCUUGUGUUGGGGACCUGCGGCUGCCCGCAGGCCCUGAAAACCAGUGGCGGGCUCGCUGUCACACCGAGCGUAGUAGCAAUCACCUCGCUCAGGGCGUGCUGCGGGUUCCGGCCGUUAAACAGCCUUACAAAACCCAAGGUUGACCUCGGAUCAGGUAGGAAGACCCGCUGAACUUAAGC